RNAcentral lists this ribosomal RNA (301 nucleotides) under uncultured Flavobacterium sp. RNAcentral describes it as "bacterial SSU rRNA". It matches the Rfam family "Bacterial small subunit ribosomal RNA", at positions 28 to 334 of the family's 1533-position model. Lineage: Bacteria; Pseudomonadati; Bacteroidota; Flavobacteriia; Flavobacteriales; Flavobacteriaceae. The record is from RNAcentral.
GAUGAACGCUAGCGGCAGGCCUAACACAUGCAAGUCGAGGGGUAGGGUAGCAAUACCUGAGACCGGCGCACGGGUGCGUAACGCGUAUGCAAUCUACCUUUUACAGGGGAAUAGCCCAGAGAAAUUUGGAUUAAUGCCCCAUAGUAUUAUAGAAUCGCAUGGUUUUAUAAUUAAAGUUCCAACGGUAAAAGAUGAGCAUGCGUCCCAUUAGUUAGUUGGUAAGGUAACGGCUUACCAAGACUGUGAUGGGUAGGGGUCCUGAGAGGGAGAUCCCCCACACUGGUACUGAGACACGGACCAG